Molecule: transfer RNA, 95 nt
Filed under: Streptomyces finlayi
Lineage: Bacteria; Bacillati; Actinomycetota; Actinomycetes; Kitasatosporales; Streptomycetaceae
Also listed under: 1 other name
Description: tRNA-Thr
Source: RNAcentral
GGGCGGCGGGGGCGCGUACCUGGCGUCCGCCGCCGGUGACGGCGGCGCACCCAGCAGCCCGGGUGCGCCCGGCGGCUCCCCUCCCCCGCUGUCCC